CCUGCUGGACUAUAUGCCCUUUAAAGCAAGUAGAGCACAUUACUCAUCACUCAAUCUCCAGGACCAAGUUAAUGUUCUGUAUAUAGUAAUGUCGACAGCAACAUCUCCCCCAGGUGUAACAACUAAACGUGUCUCCAGACAUUGGCAAAUAUCCUUGGGCCAUGGAGAAAACAUCACCUUCAAUUGAAAACCACUGGGCCACUCUAAUGCCUUCAAGGGACAGAUCCCAGGUCUAAACCCUAGCCAAAACCCCUUGUGUUAGAGGAGCUCACCCUUUACUGCUGAUGAAAUCUCCAUGAUGAAGUGCUUUCCUGGUGACACCCAGAGAUCGUUUGCUAUGUGAAUGCUUUUCUUGCUCAAAUUUCAACAAACAUGAUUGGUAGGUGCUCUAUUUAGGCUGUAUAGAAAGCACCAGAACAUAGCGUGAUGGAGGCAGCAUGAACUCCUCAAAAUUGCCAAUACCAGCUCUAAAAUGAAAACAUACAUUAUCUUCAUACAUCAGAAGAAUGAAUACUGUUAAAAUUACCUUACUACUCAAAGUGAUCCACAGAUUUAAUGCAAUCUCCAUCAAAUGACAUUCUUCACAGAAAUAGAAAAAGUGAUCCUAAAAUCUGUGUAGAACCGUAACACUUUGAAUAGACAAAGUAAUCUAAGGAAAAAGAACAAAGCUGGAGACAUCACAUAACCUGACUUCAAAAUAUACUACAAGGCUACAAUAACAGAAACAACAUGAUAUUUGUAUGAAAGCAGACACAUAGACCAAUGAAACAGAAUAGAGAACCCAGAAAAAAAUCCACAUAUUUAUAGCCAAAAUAUCUUUUGACAAAGUGCCAAAAACAUACAUUAGGGAAAAGACACCAUCAUUGAUAAAUGAUACUAGAGAAAUUGGAUAUCCAUAUGCAGAAAAAUGAAGCUAGACCCCUAUCUCUCACCAUAUACAUAUAAAAAUCAACUCAAAAUGGAUUCAAGACUUAGAUGUAGACCAGAAAAUUUUUACUAUAAAAAAGACCAGAAACUAUAAAACUACUGGAAGAAAAUAUAGGGGGAAAAUGUUAGGAUACUGGCCUACGUAAAGAUAUUAUGACUAAGACUUCAAAAGCACAGGCAACAAAAACAAAAAUUGACAAGUGGGACUACAUGAAACUAAAAGGUUCUUGCACAGCAAAGGAAACAGUCAACAGAGUGAAGAGACAACCUGUAGAACAGAAGAAAGUAUUUGCAAACUAGUCAUCCAACAAUGAACUAAUAUCUAUAUUAUACAAGGAUCUCAAACGAUUCAAUAAAGAAGUUUUGAAGUACUAAAUCGCUAACACCUGGAAUUUCAAAGACAACAGUGGAAAGGAAAUGAGACUUGGAAUCAAAAGACUUCAGUUUCAAUCUAAAGUCCCUGAAUGUGUAAACUAUUGUGA
RNAcentral lists this long non-coding RNA (1409 nucleotides) under Homo sapiens (human). RNAcentral's name for it is "HSALNT0336478". The record is from RNAcentral. Lineage: Eukaryota; Metazoa; Chordata; Mammalia; Primates; Hominidae.